UACGUAGGUGGCAAGCGUUGUCCGGAAUUACUGGGUGUAAAGCGCGUGUAGGCGGCAGACCAAGUCGGCGGUGAAAGCGCCCGGCUCAACUGGGCGAGGUCCGUGGAAACUGGUCAGCUGGAGGACGGUAGAGGCGAGUGGAAUUCCCGGUGUAGUGGUGAAAUGCGUAGAGAUCGGGAGGAACACCUGUGGCGAAGGCGGCUCUCUGGAACGGUACUGACGCUGAGACGCGAAAGCGUGGGGAGCGAACAGG
RNAcentral lists this ribosomal RNA (253 nucleotides) under uncultured bacterium. RNAcentral describes it as "partial 16S ribosomal RNA". It matches the Rfam family "Bacterial small subunit ribosomal RNA", at positions 524 to 776 of the family's 1533-position model. The record is from RNAcentral.